Molecule: ribosomal RNA, 116 nt
Filed under: Pseudomonas aeruginosa
Lineage: Bacteria; Pseudomonadati; Pseudomonadota; Gammaproteobacteria; Pseudomonadales; Pseudomonadaceae
Source: RNAcentral
CUUGACGAUCAUAGAGCGUUGGAACCACCUGAUCCCUUCCCGAACUCAGAAGUGAAGCGACGCAUCGCCGAUGGUAGUGUGGGGUCUCCCCAUGUGAGAGUAGGUCAUCGUCAAGC